This is a long non-coding RNA of Triticum dicoccoides, 882 nucleotides long. RefSeq lists it as uncharacterized. Lineage: Eukaryota; Viridiplantae; Streptophyta; Magnoliopsida; Poales; Poaceae. The transcript is spliced from 4 exons. The record is from RefSeq and is a predicted model, not a curated record.
CCUGGUGGUUUUGCUGUACCAGAUGGAGCUCGACCGCACGCUCUUCCUGCUCUGCUCCUACGGUCAUACAUAUGCCUCCACCUGCAAAAGCUCAGCUUGAAUUCAGUGUCUGUAGUCUGCACCGCACAGUGGUUCUGUUACUCACUGAAAUGUUGCAUUAGGCAAUUAGUUGACCUCAUCGUGCUGCUGUAUGUAGAUUGAACUGGUUGUAACUCCGUUCAUUCUCUUCCUAACAGUAUUUUGUCAGCCACAUUGGACUAAUCUAAUGCAUUCGAAUUGCCUUGGUGUAUAAAAAUAACGAUAUAGGCUUGAUGUGUACAAGUGCAUAGCUACUUAUCUAGCCUAAUCUGACUGUAGCUUAUAUACUUAAUCUUUUUAUGCACACUAUUUUAGCCAGCAGCAGAUGUUGGGCACUCUGAGGUAUGCAAACCUUCUCAGAGCAAGGGGAGCAAGAGUACCGGUACUGCAUUUCUUAUAUUCAUCGCUCAAAAUUCCCAGAACUAAUCUUGAGCUCUUGCUUUGAUACAGAACUAAUCUCGAAGGUGAUAGCCCUGUUUCUUCCCUGUUGUAGAUCAACCGUUCUUAUUUCUUCCUUGGAGCUCCACUGUUUUGGAUGAACUGGACUAACCCUAGAACGUAUGAAGGUUAUCCACGAGGUGUCUCAAGGUGAACUCCAUGGUACCUGAUCAAGUGGCUGCAGGGAAUGGUGUAUGCUCACAAGAACAAUUUGUUUCACUCAGACAAGAAUCCCACGAACCAUAAUGUGGCCUUUAAGUUUCAGCUUUAGGAUGCUUUUUGGAAUCGACUCAUGAAGAUGAUGGCUAGCCUGCACGAACAUUUGGAGCUUCUGCAUAAAUGAUGCAGAUAGUCUACAAGAAAGGU